Molecule: ribosomal RNA, 395 nt
Filed under: uncultured bacterium
Lineage: Bacteria
Description: bacterial SSU rRNA
Rfam family: Bacterial small subunit ribosomal RNA
Source: RNAcentral
GGAAUCUUAGACAAUGGGCGCAAGCCUGAUCUAGCCAUGCCGCGUGAGUGAUGAAGGUCUUAGGAUCGUAAAGCUCUUUCGCCAGGGAUGAUAAUGACAGUACCUGGUAAAGAAACCCCGGCUAACUCCGUGCCAGCCGCCGCGGUAAUACGGAGGGGGUUAGCGUUGUUCGGAAUUACUGGGCGUAAAGCGCGCGUAGGCGGAUCAGAAAGUUGGGGGUGAAAUCCCGGGGCUCAACCCCGGAACUGCCUCCAAAACUCCUGGUCGGGAGUUCGAGAGAGGUGAGUGGAAUUCCGAGUGUAGAGGUGAAAUUCGUAGAUAUUCGGAGGAACACCAGUGGCGAAGGCGGCUCACUGGCUCGAUACUGACGCUGAGGUGCGAAAGUGUGGGGAGCA